AAGGAUCAUUACCGAGGUGUAUUCGCCCUUCACGGGUGCCCUCUCACACAAUGCGUACCCCACAGUAGCAUGCUUCGGCGGGUUGCCUCUAUCGAGGCCGUCAACCUUUGCGGGUUGUCGCCCACCCGCCGAAGUGCGAACUCUUUCGUCUCCACCCGGAUCUCAGCGUCUGAGUAUUGAUUAUAAAAUCGAAACAAAAACUUUCAACAACGGAUCUCUUGGUUCUG
This 227-nucleotide unclassified non-coding RNA is filed under the name uncultured fungus. RNAcentral's name for it is "partial contains 18S rRNA, ITS1, 5.8S rRNA, ITS2 and 28S rRNA". Lineage: Eukaryota; Fungi. The record is from RNAcentral.